GGGAAUGUGUAGUGGUUUGAGUGCUGGACUAUGACUCUGGAGACCAGGGUUCGAUUCCCAGCUCAGCCA
Molecule: non-coding RNA, 69 nt
Organism: Phrynosoma platyrhinos (Desert horned lizard)
Lineage: Eukaryota; Metazoa; Chordata; Lepidosauria; Squamata; Phrynosomatidae
Source: the annotation of a GenBank genome assembly